CCCUUAGAUGUUCUGGGCCGCACGCGCGCUACACUGACGGAGCCAACGAGUAUUUUCCUUGUCCGGAAGGACUGGGUAAUCUUGUGAAACUUUGUCGUGCUGGGGAUAGAGCAUUGUAAUUAUUGCUCUUCAACGAGGAAUUCCUAGUAAGCGUGAGUCAUCAGCUCGCGUUGAUUACGUCCCUGCCCUUUGUACACACCGCCCGUCGCUACUACCGAUUGAAUGGCUUAGUGAGCCUUUGGGGUUGGCAGCCAACACCGGCAACGGUAGCUGGCCGCCGAAAACUUAUGCAAACUUGGUCAUUUAGAGGAAGUAAAAGUCGUAACA
RNAcentral lists this ribosomal RNA (327 nucleotides) under uncultured eukaryote. RNAcentral describes it as "partial 18S ribosomal RNA". It matches the Rfam family "Eukaryotic small subunit ribosomal RNA", at positions 1470 to 1796 of the family's 1831-position model. The record is from RNAcentral.